RNAcentral lists this microRNA (22 nucleotides) under Macaca mulatta (Rhesus monkey). Its description in RNAcentral is "Mml-Mir-506-P5o4b_3p* (star (passenger))". The record is from RNAcentral. Lineage: Eukaryota; Metazoa; Chordata; Mammalia; Primates; Cercopithecidae.
AAAUGUCACCUUUUUGGGAAGA